RNAcentral lists this unclassified non-coding RNA (256 nucleotides) under uncultured fungus. RNAcentral's name for it is "partial contains 5.8S ribosomal RNA, internal transcribed spacer 2, and large subunit ribosomal RNA". The record is from RNAcentral. Lineage: Eukaryota; Fungi.
AACGCACAUUGCGCUCCUUGGUAUUCCGAGGAGGCAUGCCUGUUUCGAGCGUCAUUUCACCAAUCAAGCACCGCUUGGUAUUGGGUGCCAGGCCCGGGCCACCUGCCCCGGGCCCACCCCAAAGGCAUCAGCGAGGACAGCGACCCCCGGCGUGUUAAUCAUCACGAGUACGCCGGGAGCACCGCUGGGCUCUGCCGCGAAAGUAACCAAAUCAAAGGUUGACCUCGGAUCAGGUAGGGAUACCCGCUGAACUUAA